AAGAAAGUAAGCAAGGGCGCAUGGCGGAUGCCUUGGCUCUCGGAGGCGAUGAAGGACGUGAUAAGCUGCGAUAAGCUCUGGGUAGGUGCAAAUAACCUUUGAUCCAGAGAUUUCCGAAUGGGACAACCCGGCAUUCUGAAGGAAUGUCAUCCAUCUUUGAUGGAAGCUAACGCAGGGAACUGAAACAUCUUAGUACCUGUAGGAAAAGAAAAUAAUAAUGAUUCCCCUAGUAGUGGCGAGCGAACGGGGAAUAGCCCAAACCACCCAUGUUACGGCAUGUGUGGGGUUGUAGGACCACGAUGUCGCAAGACAUUUGAUGAGUAGAAUCCUCUGGAAAGUUGAACCAUAGACGGUGAUAGUCCGGUAUACGAAGUCAAAUUAAGCGUAGUGGUAUCCUGAGUAGCGCGGGACACGAGAAAUCUUGCGUGAAUCUGCCGGGACCAUCCGGUAAGGCUAAAUACUCCCGAGAGACCGAUAGCGAACCAGUACUGUGAAGGAAAGGUGAAAAGCACUUCGAAUAGAAGAGUGAAAUAGUCCCUGAAACCGUGCGCCUACAAGCGGUCGGAGCUGCUUAAGCAGUGACGGCGUGCCUUUGCAUAAUGAACCUACGAGUUACUUUUUCCGGCAAGGUUAAGCAUCUUGAGAUGUGCAGCCGAAGCGAAAGCGAGUCUGAACAGGGCGUCGAGUCGGAAGGAGUAGACGCGAAACCAAGUGAUCUACCCUUGGUCAGGUUGAAGGUUAGGUAACACUAACUGGAGGACCGAACCGAUAAGCGUUGAAAAGCUUCCGGAUGAACUGAGGGUGGGGGUGAAAGGCUAAUCAAACUUGGAGAUAGCUCGUACUCCCCGAAAUGCAUUUAGGUGCAGCCUUGUGAGUUACUAAUGUGAGGUAGAGCGACUGAUAAGAUGCGAGGGCUUCACCGCCUAUCAAGUCUUGAUAAACUCCGAAUGCGCAUUAGUUCUAUCACAGGAGUGAGGGCAUGGGUGCUAAGGUCCAUGUCCUAAAGGAGAAGAAUCCAGACCAUCAGCUAAGGUCCCCAAAUAAACACUAAGUUGAACUAACGAAGUCAGAUUGCUAAGACAGCUAGGAUGUUGGCUUGGAAGCAGCCAUUCAUUUAAAGAGUGCGUAACAGCUCACUAGUCGAGGAGUUUGGCGUGGAUAAUAAUCGGGCAUUAAGUGUUUUACCGAAGCUAUGGGAUCAGUAAUGAUCGGUAGGGGAGCAUUCCACUCUGCGUCGAAGGUGAAGCGUGAGCUUUGCUGGAGCGUGUGGAAAAGCAAAUGUAGGUAUAAGUAACGAUAAAGGGGGUGAGAAACCCCCUCGCCGAAAGACUAAGGUUUCCUGAUCAACGCUAAUCGGAUCAGGGUUAGUCGGGUCCUAAGGCUCAGCCGAACGGUGAGGCCGAUGGCAGAACAGGUUAAUAUUCCUGUACUACCUUAAGGAGUGACGUGGAGACGGAGCAGUGACAGCGCCGCGGACUGACGGAAUAGUCCGUUGAAGGGUGUAGAUGUUGAUCAUCCCAGGCAAAUCCGGGAUGAGAGUCGAACCUGAUAGUAUGGAGCGUUCUUCGGAACAAUCCAAUAGUGCGUGUAAGCAUACUCCCAAGAAAAUCCGCUAAACUUAAUCCUUAAGGUACCCGUACCGCAAACGGACACACGUAGUCGGGUUGAAUAUACUAAGGCGCUUGAGUGAUUCACGGUUAAGGAACUAGGCAAAUUGACCCUGUAACUUCGGGAUAAAGGGUCCCAACGAGAGUUGGGCGCAGAGAAUAGGUCCAGGCAACUGUUUAACAAAAACACAGGGCUGUGCCAAAUUGAAAGAUUACGUAUACAGCCUGACACCUGCCCGGUGCUGGAAGGUUAAGAGGAGAUGUCAUCGCAAGAGAAGCAUUGAAUUGAAGCCCCAGUAAACGGCGGCCGUAACUAUAACGGUCCUAAGGUAGCGAAAUUCCUUGUCGGGUAAGUUCCGACCUGCACGAAUGGUGUAAUGAUCUGGACACUGUCUCAACCGUGAGCUCAGUGAAAUUGUAGUAUCGGUGAAGAUGCCGAUUACCCGCGAUGGGACGAAAAGACCCCGUGAACCUUUACUAUAGCUUAACAUUGAAUUUGGGUAAUUGAUGUGUAGGAUAGGCCGGAGACUUCGAAGCAGGUACGCCAGUAUUUGUGGAGUCGCUGUUGAAAUACGGCCCUUUGAUUAUUUGAGUUCUAACUCGUAGUUGCGAGGACACUGUUUGGUGGGUAGUUUGACUGGGGUGGUCGCCUCCAAAAUAGUAACGGAGGCUUCUAAAGGUGCCCUCAGGACGAUUGGUAACCGUCCGUAGAGUGUAAUGGCAUAAGGGCGCUUGACUGGGAGACUAACAAGUCGAUCAGGUAGGAAACUAGAGCAUAGUGAUCCGGUGUUUCCGUAUGGAAGGGACAUCGCUCAAAGGAUAAAAGGUACUCCGGGGAUAACAGGCUGAUCCCUCCCAAGAGCUCAUAUCGACGGAGGGGUUUGGCACCUCGAUGUCGGCUCGUCACAUCCUGGGGCUGGAGAAGGUCCCAAGGGUUGGGCUGUUCGCCCAUUAAAGUGGCACGCGAGCUGGGUUCAGAACGUCGUGAGACAGUUCGGUCUCUAUCUAUCGUGGGCGUAUGAAAUUUGCGUGGCUCUGACACUAGUACGAGAGGACCGUGUUGGACUGACCGCUGGUUUACCAGUUGUGCCGAAAGUCCCCGCCAGUCAUCUUUGAUUGGCGGGGAUUUCUUGUUUAUACACUUUCUUGUCAGAUUUUUGGGUUCUCCUGCUUAUUUUCUAUGAUUCAGCCAAAUUUAUAUUCUUUUUCUUUU
RNAcentral lists this ribosomal RNA (2820 nucleotides) under Bacteroides thetaiotaomicron. Its description in RNAcentral is "23S ribosomal RNA". It matches the Rfam family "Bacterial large subunit ribosomal RNA". The record is from RNAcentral. Lineage: Bacteria; Pseudomonadati; Bacteroidota; Bacteroidia; Bacteroidales; Bacteroidaceae.